AUGCACGCUGGCGGCGUGCCUAAUCCAUGCAAGUCGCGCGAACAGACGAGGAGCUUGCUCCUCUGACGUUAGCGGCGGACGGGUGAGUAACACGUGGAUAACCUACCUAUAAGACUGGGAAAACUUCGGGAAACCGGAGCUAAUACCGGAUAAUAUAUUGAACCGCAUGGUUCAAUAGUGAAAGACGGUUUUGCUGUCACUUAUAGAUGGAUCCGCGCCGCAUUAGCUAGUUGGUAAGGUAACGGCUUACCAAGGCAACGAUGCGUAGCCGACCUGAGAGGGUGAUCGGCCACACUGGAACUGAGACACGGUCCAGACUCCUACGGGAGGCAGCAGUAGGGAAUCUUCCGCAAUGGGCGAAAGCCUGACGGAGCAACGCCGCGUGAGUGAUGAAGGUCUUCGGAUCGUAAAACUCUGUUAUUAGGGAAGAACAAAUGUGUAAGUAACUAUGCACGUCUUGACGGUACCUAAUCAGAAAGCCACGGCUAACUACGUG
Molecule: ribosomal RNA, 496 nt
Filed under: uncultured bacterium
Lineage: Bacteria
Description: partial 16S ribosomal RNA
Rfam family: Bacterial small subunit ribosomal RNA
Source: RNAcentral